GCCACGCCGCGUGAGCGAAGAAGGCUUUCGGGAUGUAAAGCUCUUUUAUUAGGGACGAAAAGAGCGGUACAUGUAACCUAAUGACUAGAUUCCGGCUAACUACCUGCCACCCGCCUAGCGCCAGCCGCCGCGGUAAU
This 137-nucleotide ribosomal RNA is filed under the name uncultured bacterium. Its description in RNAcentral is "partial 16S ribosomal RNA". The record is from RNAcentral.